CCUACGGGCGGCAGCAGUGAGGAAUAUUGGUCAAUGGCCGGAAGGCUGAACCAGCCAUGCCGCGUGCAGGUCAGUGCCCUAUGGGCGUUAAACUUCUUUUGUGCGGGAGCAAUAAUGGUCACGUGUGGCCAGACGAGAGUACCGUACGAAUAAGCAUCGGCUAACUCCGUGCCAGCAGCCGCGGGAAUACGGGGGAUGCAAGCGUUAUCCGGGUUUAUUGGGUUUAAAGGGUGCGUAGGCUGUGAGGUAAGUCAGCGUGGAAAUGCCCCCGCUCAACGGGGUGACGUGCCAUUGAUACUGCCUUGCUGGAAUGCGGAUGCCGUAGGAGGAAUGCGUGGUGUAGCGGUGAAAUGCAUAGAUAUCACACAGAACACCGAUUGCGAAGGCAUCUCACGAAUCCGCGAUUGACGCUGAUGCACGAAAGCGUGGGUAUCAAACAGGAUUAGAUACCCGGGUAGUC
RNAcentral lists this ribosomal RNA (460 nucleotides) under uncultured bacterium. RNAcentral's name for it is "partial 16S ribosomal RNA". It matches the Rfam family "Bacterial small subunit ribosomal RNA", at positions 338 to 795 of the family's 1533-position model. The record is from RNAcentral.